This 216-nucleotide long non-coding RNA is filed under the name Elaeis guineensis (African oil palm). RNAcentral's name for it is "long non-coding RNA (EGUI_LNC012713)". Lineage: Eukaryota; Viridiplantae; Streptophyta; Magnoliopsida; Arecales; Arecaceae. The record is from RNAcentral.
GGAGAAGGACUCUUAAUGCAAAGAGUCGCAUGACUUUUCUCACUUGCACGUGCGGCUUCAUUCCAAUAAAUUCUCCAUGCCAAAAUGAGUCUAGAAAAAUACAUCUCAUGCUUUAAGAUGUAUCCCAGAGGAUGGAGGGUGAUGUGCAUUGCCACACAUAUCUUAAAACCAAGGUAGAAGGAUUCAUUCCUUCUCCUCAUGUUAAAAUGCACGCAC